UACGUAGGGGGCGAGCGUUGUCCGGAUUUACUGGGCGUAAAACGCUUGUAGGUGGCCACGCCAAGUCGGACGUGAAAUCUCCCGGCUUAACUGGGAGGGGUCGUUCGAUACUGGCGGGCUCGAGGCAGGUAGGGGGAAGCGGAAUUCCCGGUGUAGUGGUGGAAUGCGUAGAUAUCGGGAGGAACACCAGUGGCGAAGGCGGCUUCCUGGACCUGUUCUGACACUGAGGAGCGAAAGCGUGGGGAGCGAUCCGG
This 254-nucleotide ribosomal RNA is filed under the name uncultured bacterium. RNAcentral describes it as "partial 16S ribosomal RNA". It matches the Rfam family "Bacterial small subunit ribosomal RNA", at positions 524 to 776 of the family's 1533-position model. The record is from RNAcentral.